RNAcentral lists this ribosomal RNA (253 nucleotides) under uncultured bacterium. RNAcentral's name for it is "partial 16S ribosomal RNA". It matches the Rfam family "Bacterial small subunit ribosomal RNA", at positions 524 to 776 of the family's 1533-position model. The record is from RNAcentral.
UACGUAGGGUGCGAGCGUUAAUCGGAGUUACUGGGCGUAAAGCGUGCGUAGGCGGCUAUGCAAGACAGAUGUGAAAUCCCCGGGCUUAACCUGGGAACUGCAUUUGUGACUGCAUGGCUAGAGUGUGUCAGAGGGGGGUGGAAUUCCGCGUGUAGCAGUGAAAUGCGUAGAGAUGCGGAGGAACACCGAUGGCGAAGGCAGCCUCCUGGGAUAACACUGACGCUCAGGCACGAAAGCGUGGGGAGCAAACAGG